Molecule: long non-coding RNA, 2008 nt
Filed under: Theobroma cacao (cacao)
Lineage: Eukaryota; Viridiplantae; Streptophyta; Magnoliopsida; Malvales; Malvaceae
Description: long non-coding RNA (TCAC_LNC002991)
Source: RNAcentral
CCAUGUUUCAGAGCAAGGUAAGAAUAUUUUGACAGAAUGUGGACGAAGCCCACACCAAACACAAAUGAAUUGGGAAUUACUGCUUAAUAUUUUGAGUAGAAUCAGCUCGUUAGCCUAUUCUCUUCAAGUAAAAAAUCUGUCCUGCCUAUACUGUUUAUCAGUCUUGACAUCGUGUUACAAAAAGCAUUGGAAAAGAAAACCAUGCGAUAACACAAAAGUGGAUGCCACACCCAACUGGGAAUGCAGAAGUUAAGACCGCGAGAUCACUGAACAGAGACCGCGCGACGCAGAAGAAAAUCGAUAGAUUUCUUUUAUGUUUUUGUACAAAAAUUUAUAAACAAAGCACAGGCUGCCACGUUGUUGACUUAUGUACUUGCCCUCCAUCUCCAGUGAACAACAGAGGUCGCGCUAGUGAAAGAACAACAUCGUCCGAUUCAGUGAAACAAACAAUAACCGCGCGCCUAACUGAAACCAUACCACCACAUUGUUGGCUGUUGAUAAAGUUCUCUCGCGAUCCAUCAGAAAACCAAUAUCUAUUUAAAGCAGAAGCAGAAGCCUUUCACUUUAGGCUAGCCCUGCAACUCCUUUUGCUUUAGCGAUGAAGAUAUUCUCAAAGACACUCUGCGCGACAGACAUCAACAGGAGAUGUGCGGUUGGAAUGAACUACUUCAAAAUGGAACGUUUCCCAAAAUUACAAGGCCAUUAUAAGGUGGAUUUUGUUGUCAAGGAUGAGAGCGGCCGUAAGUGGAUCUUUUGCUGCUCUACACGUAUCACAAAGAACCCAAAUCACCCGAAACACCCAAAGCCUGUUCUCAUCAAGGAAUGGAUUCCAUUUGUUCGUAGUAAGAAGCUUUGUGUUGGUGACAGAGUGACCAUCUACGCGGAGCUUGAUGAAACAGGUUCGACAAACUAUAGGGUUAAAGUGGAGAAGCGAACCAGCCCUUCUAAAGCUGCUUCAUCUCAUGUUAUGAACCACAACCCUGAUGGAGACAACAGUUCAUCCAGCCACAACAGUGACAAUGAAUCAAAAGCGACCUUCCAGCCUUCCAGGGAUCUUUUGCCUGAAGUCCUGAACCGUGACCUAGGUGGAACUACUGCUGCAACAGGCUCCAGCUUUGACAAGGAGCAACUACCAACCAACCACAGCAUUUUUCAAGUUAUUAAAUGCUACAAGACUGAAAGGAGCUUGAGUUUGGAAUUGACACUGAAACCAACCAUGACAGGGGGAAGCACAGCUGCAACGAGCUCCUGCAUUUACACAGAGCAAACACCAAACCCCCACAGCACUUCUCGAGAUAUAAAAUGCGACAAGAUCACAAGGCCUAGCCUGAACUUGAGUUUGGAAUUGGCUCUGACACCAACCAUGACAGGGAGACCACAUCAUGCUUAUAUGCAAUGGACAGAACCCAAAACCAUCAAUUUCUUUGGGAGCUAAUUAUAGGGCUUGAAAGCAAGGCUGGAAGUUACAAGACUUGAGAGGAAAGAGCAACCAAGCUUUCCAAGCCUUAGUAAAGAGAUGGAUGGGUGCUUAUGUUAAGCUCCCUUUUGUUCCCUUUCAUGCAAAUGGUGUUGUACUCUCCUAGGAUGUAAAAUACUACUAGCGCUAGUAUUUUCCUGAGAUGUGAAAAACUACUAGUUCUUGUAUUCUCUUAGGACGUAAAAUACCACUAGUGCUUGCAUUUUCCUUGGAUGUAAAAUACUACUAGUGCUUGUAUUCUCUUAGGAUGUAAAAUACUACUAGUGCUAAUUUUGUUUGAAAAUGUUGUCUCUGAUUUUGUCUGGAAAUUGUUUUGGUGUGAUUAAUUAUAUGAUGAGUAGCAUUUUGCUAGUUUUGAUUUGUAUUUUUCCUUUUUCAGAAUUUUAGGGGGAGUUGAUGAAUGUUAUAAGGAAAGUUAAUACUAGCCUUGAAUUGAGAAGAUGAACUUUAAAGAGUUUCCAAUUAAGUAGUUCUUAAUCCAAAAAAUAUAGUAAAAUUAUAGCAGUAAAUGAUAAUCAAGCAGUAGCAAGA